AGGGUGACUUAUAGCAAUGGUUGCAUGAACCGUUCCCAUAAAGUUACCUAUGACAACACUUAAUUGACAAAAAAGGCUAUUGCAUCAAUUGUCAUUUAUUCCUAUUUCCCUCCCAAUUUUUUUCCUACAUCCGCCAAAAUUAAAAUAAUAUAUAUCAAAAAUUAAAUAAGUAUAUAAAGAAAAUUUUCCAUUUCUGAUGAAGAUUUCCCAUUCUCAACCUCAACAGCCAGUACGCUCCGAUGACCAACACCACCAGUAGGCUCCAUCCACAUACCACACAUCACCAGUAGCUCCGACCAUACACCACCAGUAGCUCUGACCGCAUACCACCAGUAAACUCUGACUGCACACCACCAGUACACUUAUUUCCAACUUCUCUCUCAAUCUGUCUCCGACCGUCUGAGUUCAAUUUCACCCCAAAAUCACUACUAAUGAAAGUGAUUUGUACUAUGCUAAUCUUAACUGUGGGAAGCAUCCUCCAAGAAGUUGUAAAGAGGCACCACUGCUCCGACCACCGCUUAAAUUUCUGAGCAAAUUUGGGGCUUUCGUCUAAUUUGUUGAUUUUAAGAAUUUUCGCAGUUUAAUUCAAAGAAAGCUAGUGAAUUAUUGAAGACAAUCAUGGCCUCAUAGAUGGAUGCUUCAUAACGGAUACCCCAUGCCACCAAAUAUGCUAGAUUCUUAUGGAUCAAGAGCAUCUUCGAUUGGAGAAAGUUUAGCUGAUGGAGCAAGUACUGCGGCUGCUACCUCUGAUCAAUCUGGAGACCUGUGGUCGACGAUCAAAUCAAAUGUUGUAUAGAAGGACUGCAUGUGAUUCAACUUUUUGGCAUGAUCGGACUUGUCCCAUCGGAAUAUCCUGGUGUAUUGCUUCAAUAUAAGUAUUUCCUUGGAAGAGUCGGGAAGCAGUGAUUGGGAGAAGCCAUGAUACAAGCAGUUGAUUUUCUUAUUCUAUUACUUACUGGACUCUGUUUCGGAACACUUGCUGAAGUGAGUGAUGAAACACUUAGAUUUAUGGGGUACCUUUACAUGGUCAUUGCAGUUCAUCUUCUCACCAAGAUUGAGGAUUUGAGGUCAUUUUCUCUAGAUAAAUUACACUACUGGAGACGGAGUGCAUUUGGCAUGAGCAGUUUGGUAUACUUUUUGGAUAAGGAUACAGUUGAUCAUAUCAAUACUAUUGUAAAGCGUACAGUUUAUCUCUCAGUGUUCUACUUCUUCAACAAUCCAAGAUUUUCAAUUUUUGAUAAUUGUGGCGUCUUGUUGUGUCGUAUAUUGUGUUACUGGGAUAGCAUAUGCACUUGCCAUCAACUUUGAACUUGAACAAGCUCAACUGGUGUGUACUCGAUAUUUUGUUUUGUGAUGUGCAUAUAUUUUGUUAUAAUUUAUUAUCUAUGUAAAUAAAAAUUUACGUUAA
This is an RNA transcript of Capsicum annuum, 1408 nucleotides long. RefSeq lists it as uncharacterized. The transcript has 5 exons. NCBI's taxonomy places the organism in Eukaryota, Viridiplantae, Streptophyta, Magnoliopsida, Solanales, Solanaceae. The record is from RefSeq and is a predicted model, not a curated record.